This 253-nucleotide ribosomal RNA is filed under the name uncultured bacterium. RNAcentral's name for it is "partial 16S ribosomal RNA". It matches the Rfam family "Bacterial small subunit ribosomal RNA", at positions 524 to 776 of the family's 1533-position model. The record is from RNAcentral.
UACGAAGGGGGCUAGCGUUGCUCGGAAUUACUGGGCGUAAAGGGCGCGUAGGCGGCGCGGUUAGUCAGGCGUGAAAUUCCUGGGCUCAACCUGGGGACUGCGCUUGAUACGGCUGUGCUAGAGGAUGGAAGAGGCUCGCGGAAUUCCCAGUGUAGAGGUGAAAUUCGUAGAUAUUGGGAAGAACACCGGUGGCGAAGGCGGCGAGCUGGUCCAUUACUGACGCUGAGGCGCGACAGCGUGGGGAGCAAACAGG